GAGGGUAUAGCUCAGGGGUGGAGCGCGUGCUUAGCGUGCGCAAGGUCCUGGGUUCAAUCCCCAGUGCCUCCA
RNAcentral lists this transfer RNA (72 nucleotides) under Camelus bactrianus (Bactrian camel). It matches the Rfam family "tRNA". From Rfam's summary of the family: Transfer RNA (tRNA) molecules are approximately 80 nucleotides in length. Their secondary structure includes four short double-helical elements and three loops (D, anti-codon, and T loops). Lineage: Eukaryota; Metazoa; Chordata; Mammalia; Artiodactyla; Camelidae. The record is from Rfam by way of RNAcentral. RNAcentral also lists the same sequence under 2 other names.